RNAcentral lists this transfer RNA (120 nucleotides) under Salinibacter ruber. RNAcentral's name for it is "tRNA-Leu". Lineage: Bacteria; Pseudomonadati; Rhodothermota; Rhodothermia; Rhodothermales; Salinibacteraceae. The record is from RNAcentral.
CCCAAUGUAGGAUAAUUGGAAGUCCUCAGACCCGUCCAGGCAGGCAAUCAUCCUAAGUGACGCGGAUUCAAAAUCCGUUGGUGCUUACGCACCGUGAGGGUUCAAGUCCCUCCUCGGGCA